GAAGAAGACGAAAGUGAGUGCAAAGCAAGUAGAAUCACAGGAAUGGUCUUUUCAGUAGGUUUUGAGGAUUUCUGAAGUCCGAGACAUAAAGGGAAUGUGCAGGAAGGAAAGGAGAUGGUCAUAAACGAAGUAAAGGAAAUUGAAAUAAGAGGGCUGUGUUUUUUAGUAAUGGCAAAUUAGGGUAGUUGAGACAGGUGGAAGACAAAAUCUUUUUUUUUUUCCUUUUUUUGGAGACGGAGUCUCAUUUUGUCAUCCAAGCUGGAGUGCAGAGGCGUGAUCUAGGCUCACUGCAACCUCUCGGAUUCAAGGGAUUUUCCUGUCUCAGCCUCUCAGAAGAGAACAUCUUCAUAGGAGAGGAGCUCUAGGAACUGAGAAUGCAGGAAAUUGGAAGAAAUAUACAUUAAUAGCCAAGAAUUUAGACAGGACUGGGGAGCCAGGAACAAACAUUUGAGAUGUUGGGCUUUUAAUGGAGUUGCCACGGAUGACAGCAUCAUGAGAAAUGAGGUUUAAAAAUGGAGGAUUGUUCGAGGAGGGAGGAGGGCUGAUCUGAAAGCCACAAGGAGGACAAAUGGAACACCUACCCCCACUACAGGCUGGAAGAAGUUUCUCUUGAAGAAGGAACAUUUAAGCUGAAACCCUAAGGAGCCACCCAAGAAGACUUAAGUUGAGAAAGGGGAAAGCAAGCAAAAUAUCAGAAGACUGAGAAUGGGGCCAGAAGUAAGGCGAAGAGUGAGGCAGCAGAAGACUAGCAGAACUUUGGUGAUCAAGAAGAAAUGAAAGUCUCCCCCUCCUAGGGACUUGAUCUCCUCCACAGAAGGACCUUUCAUGGUGUGUAAUCCCUCAUGAGCCCCUGUUCUUUCUCAUCUCAAUACAUUGUGUUUGCAGGACUCCUCUCUCACCUCCUGAAUGGGACCCCUCGAGGGCAGUGAAGGUUUCUUAUCUUCUGCUGUAUUCCAAACACCCAGCAUAGGGCUUGACACAUUUGUCUUUUGUUGUUGUUGUUGCUCUCUUGUUAUUGUCAUUUUGUAUAAAUAAACCAAAGGAAAAC
Molecule: long non-coding RNA, 1048 nt
Filed under: Homo sapiens (human)
Lineage: Eukaryota; Metazoa; Chordata; Mammalia; Primates; Hominidae
Description: HSALNT0323075
Source: RNAcentral